UCCGUGGCGGAAUGCUUUACACCUGCAGUUAACGGCUAGCGACGGACUUCGGUCUGGUGGCGAGUGGCGAACGGGUGAGUAAUGCAUCGGAACGUGCCCAAUCGUGGGGGAUAACGUGAGCGAAAGUUACGCUAAAUACCUGCAGUACGAUCUCAGAUGGAUGAAAGCGGGGGAUCGCAAGACCUCGCGCGAAUGGAGCGGCCGAUGUUAGAUUAGGUAGUUGGUGGGGUAAAGGCUCACCAAGCCGACGAUCUAUAGCUGGUCUGAGAGGAUGAUCAGCCACACUGGGACUGAGACACGGCCCAAACUCCUACGGGAGGCAGCAGUGGGGAAUUUUGGACAAUGGGGGCAACCCUGAUCCAGCAAUGCCGCGUGAGUGAAGAAGGCCUUCGGGUUGUAAAGCUCUUUUGUCAGGGAAGAAACACCGGCUCUAACACAGUCCGGGAAUGACGGUACCUGAAGAAUAAGCACCGGCUAACUACGCGCCAGCAGCCGCGGUAAUACGU
Molecule: ribosomal RNA, 506 nt
Filed under: uncultured beta proteobacterium
Lineage: Bacteria; Pseudomonadati; Pseudomonadota; Betaproteobacteria
Description: bacterial SSU rRNA
Rfam family: Bacterial small subunit ribosomal RNA
Source: RNAcentral